This 469-nucleotide long non-coding RNA is filed under the name Equus asinus (donkey). RNAcentral describes it as "lncRNA (ENSEASG00005032784.1)". Lineage: Eukaryota; Metazoa; Chordata; Mammalia; Perissodactyla; Equidae. The record is from RNAcentral.
CAGCCUUCUGAGCCUCUGAGGAGAGUUCUCUGAAGAAUCAAAGGGCACAUAGCCAUUGGCAGCAAAGGUUUUUUGACUGACGGAUCUCUGCUCCUGGACAGACAGAACCAAAAUACACUCUGAACGACAACAGUAAGCACAAUCUCCAUAAAAAACCAAAGGAAGAAAUCUUAAGUCAGCCCCAAACUCCAGACUCUCUAGGGAAAGGCUCACUUGGCAAGGAGCCAACUACUCAUAAGGGAUUGAGGUCUCAGUUCAACAUAGUCUGUGAGGAAGUGAAUCCUGCCAACAACCAGUUGAGUAAGCUUAGAAGUAAAUCCUCCCUCGUUGAGUCUUCAAGUGAGAUGACAUCCCCAGCUGACACUUUGACUGCCGCCUUCUGAGAGACCCUGAAGCAGAAGACCCAGCUAAAGUGUGCCCGUAGAACCCGUAGAAGCUGACCCAUCGAAAUUGUGAGAGAAUAAAUGUG